GAUUGAACGCUGGCGGCAGGCCUAACCCAUGCAAGUCGAGCGGAUGAAGGGAGCUUGCUCCUGGCUUCAGCGGCGGACGGGUGAGUAAUGCCUAGGAAUCUGCCUGGUAGUGGGGGAUAACGUCCGGAAACGGGCGCUAAUACCGCAUACGUCCUGAGGGAGAAAGUGGGGGAUCUUCGGACCUCACGCUAUCAGAUGAGCCUAGGUCGGAUUAGCUAGUUGGUGGGGUAAAGGCCUACCAAGGCGACGAUCCGUAACUGGUCUGAGAGGAUGAUCAGUCACACUGGAACUGAGACACGGUCCAGACUCCUACGGGAGGCAGCAGUGGGGAAUAUUGGACAAUGGGCGAAAGCCUGAUCCAGCCAUGCCGCGUGUGUGAAGAAGGUCUUCGGAUUGUAAAGCACUUUAAGUUGGGAGGAAGGGCAGUAAGUUAAUACCUUGCUGUUUUGACGUUACCAACAGAAUAAGCACCGGCUAACUUCGUG
This 485-nucleotide ribosomal RNA is filed under the name uncultured bacterium. RNAcentral describes it as "partial 16S ribosomal RNA". It matches the Rfam family "Bacterial small subunit ribosomal RNA", at positions 27 to 507 of the family's 1533-position model. The record is from RNAcentral.